Molecule: ribosomal RNA, 389 nt
Filed under: uncultured euryarchaeote
Lineage: Archaea; Methanobacteriati; Methanobacteriota
Description: bacterial SSU rRNA
Rfam family: Archaeal small subunit ribosomal RNA
Source: RNAcentral
GUACGAGGUUUCUGCAAUACGCGAAAGCGUGACAGGGGAACCCAAAGUGCCUAUGAUUUAAUCAUAGGCUUUUGCGGAGUGUAAAUAGCUCCGAGAAUAAGUGGUGGGUAAGACGGGUGCCAGCAGCCGCGGUAACCCCCGCGCCACAAGUGGCAAUCGGCAUUAUUGGGUCUAAAGCGUCCGUAGUCGGCUCUGUAAAUCUCGUGUGAAAUCGUUUCGCUCAACGAAACGGCGGGCACGAGACACUGCAUAGCUAGGGACCAGGAGGUGCAAGAGGUAUUCCCGGGGUAGCGGUAAAAUGCGAUAAUCCUGGGAGGACCACCGAUGGCGAAGGCAUCUUGCAAGAAUGGGUCCGACGAUGAGGGACGAAAGCCGGGGGAGCAAAACGG